Molecule: ribosomal RNA, 497 nt
Filed under: uncultured bacterium
Lineage: Bacteria
Description: partial 16S ribosomal RNA
Rfam family: Bacterial small subunit ribosomal RNA
Source: RNAcentral
GAUGAACGCUGGCGGCGUGCCUAAUACAUGCAAGUCGAGCGAACAGACGAGGAGCUUGCUCCUCUGACGUUAGCGGCGGACGGGUGAGUAACACGUGGAUAACCUACCUAUAAGACUGGGAUAACUUCGGGAAACCGGAGCUAAUACCGGAUAACAUGUUGAACCGCAGGGUUCAACAGUGAAAGACGGUCUUGCUGGCACUUAUAGAUGGAUCCGCGCCGCAUUAGCUAGUUGGUAAGGUAACGGCUUACCAAGGCAACGAUGCGUAGCCGACCUGAGAGGGUGAUCGGCCACACUGGAGCUGAGACACGGUCCAGGCUCCUACGGGAGGCAGCAGUAGGGAAUCUUCCGCAGAGGGCGAGAGCCUGACGGAGCAACGCCGCGUGAGUGAUGAAGGUCUUCGGAUCGUAAAGCUCUGUUAUUAGUGAAGAACAAAUGUGUAAGUAACUAUGCACGUCUUGACGGUACCUAAUCAGAAAGCCACGGCUAACUACGUG